GACUUUUAUUUUGGUCUGGCGAUGUGACGUCAUAAAUCCGCGCCCCUUCUAGCGUCAACUCGCUCCCUGCGUUUGUUGUGAUUCGGCUGAAGAAAGGAAAAAGUGUCCAAACACACAGAAAACUCCUUGACUGAGAUCCACUGAAUAUUAUAAAGAUGGAGUUUAUUAAAGAGGAGAGUGAAGAUAUGAAGAUUGAAGAAACAUUCAAACAAGAAGAUACUGAGGAACAAACAGGAUUUCCUAAUUGCACCACCAGUGGUUCCUGAUUACUGCUCCAGUCGCAUAGCAAUUGUGCGAGAUGACAGCUGCCAUCCUGAGUCUUGACAGCCUGGCCAAUUUCACACUUCUGGAUAUAGCAUACAUGCAUAACAUAUAAAUAUGUUUUG
Molecule: long non-coding RNA, 386 nt
Organism: Cyprinus carpio (common carp)
Lineage: Eukaryota; Metazoa; Chordata; Actinopteri; Cypriniformes; Cyprinidae
Exons: 3
Source: RefSeq, a predicted model, not a curated record